AAGUAUUAAUGUAUUAUUUAAAGUAAUUAGUUAUUCAGUGUGCCAAUGUGCUGCAAUAGCAGCAAUCGGUACAAUGACUAUUAUCCCCCAUACUUAUUAUU
Sander lucioperca (pikeperch) is the source of this 101-nucleotide long non-coding RNA. RefSeq lists it as uncharacterized. Lineage: Eukaryota; Metazoa; Chordata; Actinopteri; Perciformes; Percidae. The transcript is spliced from 3 exons. The record is from RefSeq and is a predicted model, not a curated record.